GGGCACAGCGUGAGGGCCGCCGUUGCUGGAGUUCAGCUUAGGGAAGGAGGACUCUGAGGAGGCCCCGAGCGGCGGAGCGCUUCGGGGGAGGCGCCCGCGCAGACGCGAGGCCCAUAGCCAGGACCACCACCUAGCUGUUCUACAGUCUGGGGACGACGGUUUAAAAAUUUAUGCCUUGCAUGCGAUGUGCAGUGGGUGAUGGAAGAACGUCUACAUGGCUUUAAAAUUGGAUUUAAAAGGCAAAUAUUUUAAAUGAAGGAAAACCCAAGAAGUUUACUUGAUUCCUUAUCUUCCAGGAUGCGACUUUUGUUUAUUUAUUUAUUUUAUUUUGAUGGAGUCUCGCUGCCGUCGCGCAGGCUGGAGUGCAGUGACGCGAUCUUGACCCGGGAACCUCCACCUCCCGGGUUCAAGCGAUUCUCCUUCCUCAACCACCCGAGUAGCUGGGAUUACAGGCGUGUGCCACCAUGCCCGGCUAAUUUUUGUGUUUUUAGUAGAGACCGGGGAAGGUAUGGGCCCUCUUUUGAGAAAAAUGCAGAGUGACACUGAAUUUUGUAACUACAUCAGGAGGCUCUUGAACCUUCUGCAGCUCACUCGUGGAGUUUGUAGAGAUGCGUAAUAAUCCGAAGUGUUAAGGAAGAAGGUUCUGUUGAGAAAAAGUUGGAGGGCUGAAAGGGAUGCCUUUCGCUAUUUCGACAUGUGUGGCUGUACCCCAGAGUGCCCUGGCUAACACGCAAAACCAUGAAUUAGGCGGCUUGGCGAGGCUCAGUGGAGGCUGGGGCCGAGAGUCAUGUCAAAGUUUGUGGGGUUAACCUGCACCCAGUGACAGUCAUGGCGAAGUUUGUGAGGUUAACUCGCACCCAGUAACGCUGUUCCAAUGCAAGGUGUGUAUUUGGUGUCAUCCACGGGAAGAGGAAACAGCAAAUUUUCUCAUGGCCUUGGCAGUUCCACAUGAUGGACAUUUCAUAUCUGCAGUUUUCUUCGCAUGAGAUGGCUUUUUUGCACAAAAACACUGGAAUCCAGUGAGCAAGAAUGAUAGAAUGCAAGAUGGAUUUCCACAUGAGGAAGUGUCACGAACAAGCGUUUUGCAUCUCUGUCAGCUGGAUUCCCCCAUGUGUACGUAUGUGAGAACAUGCCGUGUUUCCUGUCUGUAAUGGUAGAGGCAGCCCUGAUACUGGAUUUUCACCUGAGGAUGGAUAGAUCUUCAGGGUUCAAGUGGGUUUGCAUCUGGACUUUAGGGUGGCCCUGUAGGCCCUGUGUGAGAAGCCCCCUUCCCAGUGAACUUUCCCUUGUGUGCCCGCGUGGACAGCCAACAGGGGGAGCAGUGCGAGCGUGAAGGCAGACAGUGGCCUGGCCCAGUCUGAUGGAAAAGAACUACAGCCUGUGUGGGUCCCCUCCCGACAAUUAAAAUUGCACCAUAACUCCAAAGAUGAAACGCUCCCAGAAAGAAAAGGCAAAGACCCAUCGGAAACAAAAGAGCAACUUUCACCGCCUGAUACAUACACUUCAUGACAUCCACAUUGAGACAAAAUCUCGCCGUGUGACCUACAACACCUCUCGUUCAACCCCACCUACUUGGGGUCGAAUACAGAUUUUAUCUCAUCAAACAGAAAAAUUCUUAACAGAAAAAGGAAUCCCAAAAAUGACUGGUAAUAUAAUUCUGGCUGCCUUUAUGGUAGUCAGUGCAGCGUCUGCAGAUGCCUCUAAGGAGUCCGAAACCAAGUCCGAAGUCAACAACAAGCAAUGAUGGCGAUGGCGAUUCUAGUUAAUAAAAAGGGGGGAGAUGUGGGCGGCAAGCCACCCAGGCACCGAGGCAAGAGACAGAGGACACGAGCUGUUCCAGUAUAAUAAAAUAUAAAACAAGAAUAGUUAUACCAGAUAUAGAUCUUAGAUAUGAUUAUAUACGAAUAUCAUUAAUCAUGAGUUUGUAGCAAUUACUUUUUAUUCCAAUAUUAUGAUAAUCCUCGCUCUAUAAUCAUAGCCUAGGAAAAACCAGGCCAUACAGAGAUAGGAGCUGAGGGGACAUAGUGAAGUGUGACCAGAAGACAAGAGUGCGAGCCUUCUGUUAUGCCCGGACAGGGCCACCAGAGGGCUCCUUGGUCUAGCGGUGACGCCAGCGUCUGGGAAGACACCCGUUACCAGGCGGAUCGUGGCCCAGCCGUAGCAAAAGGUGUCAAGGAACACCUUUUGCAAAAGGUGUCAACACCCGCUACUUAGCAGACUGGGAAAGGGGGGCGGUCUCCCUUUCCCCGGGGGAGUUUAGAGAAGACUCUGUUCCUCCACCUCUUGUGGAGGGCCUGACAUCAGUCAGGCUUGCCCGUAGUUAUCCGGAGGCCUAACUGUCUCCCUGUGAUGCUGUGCUUCAGUGGUCACGCUCCUAGUCUGCCUUCAUUUUCCAUCCUGUACACCUGGCUCUGCCUUCUAGAUAGCAGUAGUAAAUUAGUGAAAAUACUAAUAGUCCCUGAUAUGCAGAAAUAAUGGCAUAAGCUGUCUUUCUCUCUGUCUCCUCUCCCUCUCUGCCUCGGCUGCCAGGCAGGGAAGGGCCCCCUGUCCAGUGGACACAUGACCCAUGUGACCUUACCUAUCAUUGGAGGUGACUCACAUUCUUUACCCUGCCCCUUCUGCCUUGUAUCCAAUAACAGCGCAGUCAGACAUUCAGGGCCACUACCGGUCUCCGCACAUUGGUGGUAGUGGUCCCCCGGGCCCAGCUGCCUUUUCUCU
Homo sapiens (human) is the source of this 2718-nucleotide long non-coding RNA. Ensembl annotates it as endogenous retrovirus group K13 member 1. Its record names the gene ERVK13-1. Lineage: Eukaryota; Metazoa; Chordata; Mammalia; Primates; Hominidae. The record is from Ensembl.